This 424-nucleotide ribosomal RNA is filed under the name uncultured prokaryote. RNAcentral describes it as "bacterial SSU rRNA". It matches the Rfam family "Bacterial small subunit ribosomal RNA", at positions 355 to 796 of the family's 1533-position model. The record is from RNAcentral.
UGGGGAAUCUUAGACAAUGGGGGAAACCCUGAUCUAGCCAUGCCGCGUGUGUGACGAAGGCCCUAGGGUCGUAAAGCACUUUCGCCGGUGAAGAUAAUGACGGUAACCGGUAAAGAAGCCCCGGCUAACUUCGUGCCAGCAGCCGCGGUAAUACGAAGGGGGCUAGCGUUGUUCGGAAUUACUGGGCGUAAAGCGCGCGUAGGCGGAUCUUUAAGUCAGGGGUGAAAUCCCGGGGCUCAACCUCGGAAUUGCCUUUGAUACUGGAGAUCUUGAGUCCGAGAGAGGUGAGUGGAACUCCGAGUGUAGAGGUGAAAUUCGUAGAUAUUCGGAAGAACACCAGUGGCGAAGGCGGCUCACUGGCUCGGUACUGACGCUGAGGUGCGAAAGCGUGGGGAGCAAACAGGAUUAGAUACCCCCGUAGUCC